AGUGAACGCUGGCGGUAUGCCUAACACAUGCAAGUCGAACGGCAGCACAGUAAGAGCUUGCUCUUAUGGGUGGCGAGUGUCGUACGUGUGAGGAAUACAUCGGACUCUACUUUUUCGUGGGGGAUAACGUAGGGAAACUGACGCUAAUACCGCAUACGACCUACGGGUUAAACCAGGCGAUCUUCGUACCUUGCGCGAUUGAAUGAGCCGAUGUCGGAUUAGCUAGUUGGCGGGGUAAAGGCCCACCAAUGCGAGGAUCCGUAACUCGUCUGAGAGGAAGAUCAGCCACACUGGAACUGAGACACGGUCGAGACACCUACGGGAGGCAGCAGUGGGGAAUAUUGGACGAUGGGCGCAAGCGUGAUCCAGCCAUACCGCGUGGGUGAAGAAGGAGUGAGGGUUGUAGAGUCAUUUUGUUGGGAAAGAAAAGAAGCAGGUUAAUCACCCGCUGUUCUGACGGUACCUAACGAAUAAGCACCGGCUAACUUCGUG
RNAcentral lists this ribosomal RNA (492 nucleotides) under uncultured bacterium. RNAcentral describes it as "partial 16S ribosomal RNA". It matches the Rfam family "Bacterial small subunit ribosomal RNA", at positions 29 to 507 of the family's 1533-position model. The record is from RNAcentral.